AUGUAAGUAGACUGCAGAGUCUUGACCUGAGGAGUUGGCCCUUCUGUGUUGAGCCAUGCGUUUGUGUAGUGGUUGUUUAGUCUACUACUACUGCUAAUAAUAAUAAUGUCCCAGGGGGAAAUGAACCGAGCCGUGGCUCAAAAAUCGAGGUCUGACCUGAAUUGUGGAUUUGAUGAAUUGUUACACCCCUGCUCAUGAGCAUCAGAUAUUAUCUCGUGAGCACGAGAAACAUGGAUUUUAUUUUCAUUGUUAUUUAUUUUUUUGCCCAUGUCCUCUAAGGGGUUCUGUAAUAAUCAAAAUGCUUAACUGCAACAUAUAAUUACUUCAACUACUGUAUGUUGACAACAGGCAACAACAGAACUGGAACAACUGCUUUACAGCUUGGCAUCGGUGUCGUUUCGUUUAAGAUGACAUAUAAACACAGACUGCAACUAAACCAAAGUACUUCAGGGAUGAAGGUUAUUAUUAAUUGUCCAUCACAGUUGUCUUAACAAAGGGGUUCCCUCCAUCCCUUCGCCAAUGUGGAGCCUGUGUGUGCUCCACCUCCCUCUGGAUGACUUUCUAAUGCUGCAUACCUACAUCAGCAUCAUGCACAGCUCUACCAGUGUGACUGGGAACACUCUGAAACAAUGCAGGGUGGGCAUCACCAAAACUGCAUGUAUUUCAUCUAUGGCCUUCCUGCAAAUGACUAAGGUUUGCUGGAUGACACAAAGUCAAAAACAACUCCUCUGAUUUUGAAUUAAACAAUCUUUUAAUAGAAAUAAAUAGCCAUGAGGCUUGAACAGGUGAAAGUCCAGGUUGCGGUUUAUCUUGCUUUCUGUGCACCGCUUUCUUUCCCCACAACCCCCCUUUUCGCACUGAGCUGCAACCCACACAUACAACUUUUGUUGUGAAAUUACAACUAAUUAUACACUAAGAAUGUCUCAUGAAGUGGAUUUUACACUGUUACACUGACCAUACAAACUGUUUGUUACUAAGUUGUAAUUCUUCAGCAAUUAGCAGUACAUGUUUUUGUUUAAUUACAGAACAAAUCAGAUCUGCUUGGCAAUGGCUCAAAGAUAAACUUGCAUGCACACAAUAAGCUAAAGUUUGGCAACUAUUAAAGACAUUAAAGUUUCAAGAUGCCAGAAAGACUCCACCACAAAAACAUCAUGUCUAAAGACAGAGGUUCUGUAGCGUUAGUAUUGUCAUGUAAAACUAAUACAGCUAUUUAACUAAUUAGUAUUAGUUAAAUAGCAUGCUCAAUGUUUAUUUAUGAAGUGAAAGCAUGUAAACAUGAAAGAAAUGAAUGUAUUUUUAGAGAAUCUGAGAGUUUUGACACAAUAUAAUGAACACACAUACAAUUUAAUGCAAAACACCAAACAAUUCCCCAAAACCUCAGGUUCAAUAAUCAGUGGUUUUUAUUUAUAAAAUAACACACUUUCUACCUUCAUUUGGAAAAUGCUGUGGUAUUUUUUCAUUGUUGUAAAAAAUGCUGAGAAAGAUGAUUCGGGAAAAUGUUUUUUUUUAGUAUUUUUCUGAUAAAUCUGUGAGCAUUGUUUGAUAUUAAACCUAACAAGUAUUUGUAUGUAUUACUAUGCAUUUCAAACAUGUAGGGCCUGAUUUAGUAAAGGUUUGCCUGAAUAAAACGUGUGCAAACUUGAUAUCACCAGCAAAUUAGCACGUAUGCUGAUCUACUAGUGUGCACAGAGAAUGACAUCUUUCAAAAGCAAGAUAGCACCUGUUGUUCAUUUAGUACGUAAGAAUAUGCAAUUUGGGGCAUAACAUGCAAAUACAUUUAUUUACUACACGAAAUGUGAUCUACCAAGCCUAAACACAAUUUCACGUGAGUGCAAAAGUCUCUGUAUUUAAUACGUUUGAAAGGAAGGUGCAAACCGCCAGGUGUAACAUAGAGGUGGCUGUUGUUAUUGUUGCCAGAAGGAGACACAACCUUAAUGAAAGACAAAGUAGAGAAAUUAACAGUAUUAGAUAAUAUUACUCUAUAGCCAAUGUAUUGAAAUACAAUUAUUUUAUUUUAUUUAUAGGCUACUGUUGUAUAAACAUUCAUGCCAACAAAGCAAA
Molecule: long non-coding RNA, 2061 nt
Organism: Micropterus dolomieu (smallmouth bass)
Lineage: Eukaryota; Metazoa; Chordata; Actinopteri; Centrarchiformes; Centrarchidae
Exons: 3
Source: RefSeq, a predicted model, not a curated record